UCAAGAAACUUCCACAAUGGGCGAAAGCCUGAUGGAGCGACGUCGCGUGAUGGACGAAGUGCUUCGGCACGUAAACAUCUUUUAUGUGGGAUGAAAUUAUUGACAGUACCACAUGAAUAAGGGGCUCCUAACUCUGUGCCAGCAGGAGCGGUAAUACAGAGGCCCCAAGCGUUAUCCGGAAUCACUGGGCGUAAAGGGCGUCGAGGCGGUUGUAUUAGUCGUUCGUAAAAUCUACGAGCUUAACUUGUAGGCGGCGAACGAAACGGUACGACUUGAGGUUUGGAGAGGUGCGUGGAACUCACGGUGUAGGGGUGAAAUCCGUUGAUAUCGUGGGGAACACCAAAGGCGAAGGCAGCGCACUGGCCAAAAUCUGACGCUCACACACGAAAGCUAGGGUAGCGAAGAGGAUUAGAUACCCAGGUAGUCCCUGAGCGGGCUGGCAAGGCGCAU
This 450-nucleotide ribosomal RNA is filed under the name uncultured bacterium. RNAcentral's name for it is "bacterial SSU rRNA". It matches the Rfam family "Bacterial small subunit ribosomal RNA", at positions 355 to 825 of the family's 1533-position model. The record is from RNAcentral.